CCUACGGGAGGCAGCAGUGAGGAAUAUUGGUCAAUGGGCUUACGCCUGAACCAGCCAAGUCGCGUGAGGGAAGACUGCCCUAUGGGUUGUAAACCUCUUUUGUCAGGGAGCAAUUGGCGCUACGUGUAGCGUUAUCGAGAGUACCUGAAGAAAAAGCAUCGGCAAACUCCGUGCCAGCAGCCGCGGUAAUACGGAGGAUGCGAGCGUUAUCCGGAUUUAUUGGGUUUAAAGGGUGCGUAGGCGGAAUGCCAAGUCAGCGGUAAAAUCGCGGGGCUCAACCUCGCUCCGCCGUUGAAACUGGCGUUCUUGAGUGGGCGAGAGGUAUGCAGAAUGCGUGGUGUAGCGGUGAAAUGCAUAGAGAUCACGCAGAACUCCGAUUGCGAAGGCAGCAUACCGGCGCCCAACUGACGCUGAAGCGCGAAAGCGUGGGUAGCGAACAGGAUUAGAUACCCGUGUAGUC
RNAcentral lists this ribosomal RNA (460 nucleotides) under uncultured bacterium. RNAcentral's name for it is "partial 16S ribosomal RNA". It matches the Rfam family "Bacterial small subunit ribosomal RNA", at positions 338 to 795 of the family's 1533-position model. The record is from RNAcentral.